AAUCAACGCUGGCGGCGUGCCUCAGACAUGCAAGUCGAACGAUUAAAGCUCUCUUCGGAGAGUGCAUAAAGUGGCGCACGGGUGAGUAACACGUAAGUAAUCUACCCUCGAGUGGGGAAUAACGUCCGGAAACGGACGCUAAUACCGCAUAAUGCAGCGGCACCGCAAGGUGACAGUUGUUAAAGAUUUAUCGCUUGAGGAGGAGCUUGCGGCAGAUUAGCUAGUUGGUAAGGUAAUGGCUUACCAAGGCUACGAUCUGUAACCGGUCUAAGAGGACGGUCGGUCACACUGACACUGAAUAACGGGUCAGACUCCUACGGGAGGCAGCAGUCGGGAAUUUUGGGCAAUGGGGGAAACCCUGACCCAGCAACGCCGCGUGAAGGAUGAAGUAUUUCGGUAUGUAAACUUCGAAAGAAUAGGGAGAAUAAAUGACGGUACUAUUUAUAAGGUCCGGCUAACUACGUGCCAGCAGCCGCGGUAAUACGUAGGGACCAAGCGUUGUUCGGAUUUACUGGGCGUAAAGGGCGCGUAGGCGGCUUGUCAAGUCACUUGUGAAAUCUCCGGGCUUAACCCGGAACGGCCAAGUGAUACUG
This 593-nucleotide ribosomal RNA is filed under the name uncultured bacterium. RNAcentral describes it as "bacterial SSU rRNA". It matches the Rfam family "Bacterial small subunit ribosomal RNA", at positions 28 to 635 of the family's 1533-position model. The record is from RNAcentral.